RNAcentral lists this ribosomal RNA (1751 nucleotides) under Niphargus cf. thienemanni NC107. RNAcentral's name for it is "eukaryotic LSU rRNA". The stretch from base 1316 to 1751 matches the Rfam family "Eukaryotic large subunit ribosomal RNA", at positions 1 to 385 of the family's 3401-position model. Lineage: Eukaryota; Metazoa; Arthropoda; Malacostraca; Amphipoda; Niphargidae. The record is from RNAcentral.
AAAGUCGUAACAAGGUUUCCGUAGGUGAACCUGCGGAAGGAUCAUUAACGAUUGCUACAUGCACACAAAGACGAAACGUCUGCUUUGACUGGAUUUCAGGCGAAAACUCCUGACGAGUUCAGGAAGGAAGAGAUGCUUCUCUUUCUCUCGCGUUGAGAAAGAAUGGAGCCAUCGUGGUCGUCGUGCUUCUGCGCUGCGAACGAUGUAAAACAAACAACCUAUGGCCUCUCAUACAGUUCAGGCGAAAACUCCUGACGAGUUCAGGAAGGAUGAUGCUUCUCUUUCUCUCGCGUUGAGAAAGAAUGGAGCCAUCGUGGUCGUCGUGCUUCUGCGCUACGAACGAUGUAAAACAAACAACCGAUGGCCUCUCAUACAGUAUAAUAUCUCUCGCCAUGGUAUACAGGCCUGGCAUCUGGUACGAGUCUCUCGCAGUCUCAAAACCAACCUUACAACUCUGAGCGGUGGAUCACUUGGCUUGUGGAUGCUAUGAAGACCAUAGCUAAGUGUGAGAAUGGCAGCGAGCCGUCGCUAUAUGCGCUGUCCUCUUCUUAUCACAUGUCGAAUGCACAUUGCGCCCCACCCAGCGGUCGGCUAAACAACCUGCAGACAAAAGCCUGUGAGUUGGAACAAAGGCAAAUGUGUGGCCCUCGAGCAACGGCGGGGGAGCCAGGAGCACAUGGGCGUGCGGACCAACUACUCGUGAGUAGUCAGGCUGAACCCUAUGGUGGGGCACUCCUAGUCGAGUGUGGUGGAUCGGACUCACAUCUCUUGUUGCGCGUUUUGCGCGCGUGAUGGGAUUUUGUGAGUUUCUUUGUUGCUGGUGGCAUUUGGGUCGACAUCAGUCGUGCCCGUAAACAACUGCCUUGGCUCGUGCCUCUGUGCGUAUCUACCUCUUGCAGGUGUGCGUGCAUUGAAGGCCAUAGCUGGCGAUCACUCUUGCGGCCAGGGCCCUAUUUUGCCUGGUUAAUGGCACCAGUAGGGCGCAGAGGUCCAAAAGGAAAUGGUAAUACGAGAGUCGGGUCUCUAGUACUCUGGCCCGCUUGCGCACGGUUAGUGGUAUGGUGAUUUGGUUUGCCUGCGUAUACGCUGCUCUGGUAAAGGUUCGUCUCUCGUACUAUUCGAGAAUGACACGCCUCACCUCUUUUGUUCACACGCAUGCUGGGAGACGAAGAAACGCCUGACGAGAUCAGGACGGAUUUUCUAACAGUGUGACAAAAGUAACAGAAUGGCCUGCAGUACCCCUCCACUCCAUGUUUGACCCGAUGCGUAACCGUUGGUAUGAGAGAGACUUGGCUGCUCGUGUCUGAUACAGCCACCACCUCGACUUAGGAGAGGUUACCCGCUGAACUUAAGCAUAUCAGUAAGCGGAGGAAAAGAAACCAAUCAGGGAUUCCCUUAGUAGGGGCGACCGAACAGGGAUGAGCCCAGCGCAGAACCUCCCGGGCCACCCGGCCUGCGGCGGAAUGUUGCGUUAAGGGAAAGGUCGUAGUCAAACCCCACAGCCACGCGAGCUCUAAGUAAGUCACGAAUUGGCUAUCCCAACUAACGGCGGGAAAAUCUCCACGGAGGGUGUAAGACCCGUGUGGGCGCGUGUAAAUGCUGUGUGGGCUCGGCCUCUUUUCCCUGAGAGUCGCGUUGCUUGAGCAUGCAGCGCUAAGCAGGUCGUAAACUCGAUCUAAGGCUAAAUAUGUCCACAAGACCGAUAGCGAACAAGUACCGUGAGGGAAAGUUGAAAAGCACUCUGAAGAGAG